Rhagoletis pomonella (apple maggot) is the source of this 509-nucleotide RNA transcript. RefSeq lists it as uncharacterized. The transcript is spliced from 3 exons. The record is from RefSeq and is a predicted model, not a curated record. Lineage: Eukaryota; Metazoa; Arthropoda; Insecta; Diptera; Tephritidae.
UAUAUUUAGCGUUUUUACGUGAAUAGUUGUUAAAACAAAUAUGUAAAAAAUUUAAGGAGUAGCAAGCACUUGUAAAGUAACUCAGUGCGAAGUGUUUAAAAAUGCCUAAACCUAAAAAAAAUUUAUCAAGAAAAUCGAGAGGCGCAAGGGCAAUGGCCCGCAAACGGAGAAUGAUAUUCGCGGCGCGAGAAGAAGCAAUAAAUCAACUAAAUUAUACAGCAACUAAGGAGCAACUUCGAGAACUCAAAAGCAAACUGGCUGAACGCAAAUAUUAUUUUACUGAUCAGCAAACGCAAGUGCUUCUGCAAACAAUAUGUGAUACAGUGAAAGAUCAACCUGCGUGCUUUGAGGUAAAUACACCCUUCCAUGAAUAUUGGCGUGGGCCGAAAGUCCGAUUUUUUAGAAUUUUGAUUUGUAAUAGAAAAAUUAUGGUUCAUUAUGCCAUAAAACAAUCUGUGUGAAAGAUUGUCAAUAUCUUAGGCUCGUUAAUCCAUCAAAGUUCACGUGCU